RNAcentral lists this ribosomal RNA (393 nucleotides) under uncultured bacterium. RNAcentral's name for it is "partial 16S ribosomal RNA". It matches the Rfam family "Bacterial small subunit ribosomal RNA", at positions 338 to 729 of the family's 1533-position model. The record is from RNAcentral.
CCUACGGGUGGCAGCAGUGAGGAAUAUUGGUCAAUGGCCGAGAGGCUGAACCAGCCAAGUCGCGUGAGGGAAGACGGCUCUAUGGGUUGUAAACUUCUUUUGUCGGGGAGUAAAGCUAUCCACGUGUGGCUCUUUGAGUGUACCCGAUGAAUAAGCAUCGGCUAACUCCGUGCCAGCAGCCGCGGUAAUACGGAGGAUGCGAGCGUUAUCCGGAUUUAUUGGGUUUAAAGGGUGCGUAGGUGGAGGUGAAAGUCAGCGGUAAAAUUUUGGGGCUCAACCACAAACUGCCGUUGAAACUGCAUGCCUUGAGUGCGCUAGAGGUAGGCGGAAUGCGUGGUGUAGCGGUGAAAUGCAUAGAUAUCACGCAGAACUCCGAUUGCGAAGGCAGCUUAC